RNAcentral lists this ribosomal RNA (312 nucleotides) under uncultured bacterium. RNAcentral's name for it is "bacterial SSU rRNA". It matches the Rfam family "Bacterial small subunit ribosomal RNA", at positions 30 to 325 of the family's 1533-position model. The record is from RNAcentral.
AUUGAACGCUGGCGGCGUGCCUAACACAUGCAAGUCGAGCGGUAACAGGUGUAGCAAUACAUGCUGACGAGCGGCGAACGGGUGAGUAAUGCUUUGGAAUCUUCCCAGUAGUGGGGAAUAACCAGUCGAAAGAUUGGCUAAUACCGCAUACGUCUGUAAAGGGAAAGCGGGGGACUCGCCUCUUCUUCGGAAGAGAGGCCUCGCGCUAUUGGAUGAGCCAAAGCGGAUUAGCUAGUUGGUGGGGUAAUGGCCUACCAAGGCGACAAUCCGUAGCUGGUCUGAGAGGACGACCAGCCACACCGGAACUGAGAC